Molecule: ribosomal RNA, 476 nt
Filed under: uncultured bacterium
Lineage: Bacteria
Description: bacterial SSU rRNA
Rfam family: Bacterial small subunit ribosomal RNA
Source: RNAcentral
GAUGAACGCUAGCGGCAGGCUUAACACAUGCAAGUCGAGGGGCAGCAUAAUGGAUAGCAAUAUCUAUGGUGGCGACCGGCGCACGGGUGCGUAACGCGUAUGCAACCUACCUUUAACAGGGGGAUAACACUGAGAAAUUGGUACUAAUACCCCAUAAUAUCAUAGAAGGCAUCUUUUAUGGUUGAAAAUUCCGAUGGUUAGAGAUGGGCAUGCGUUGUAUUAGCUAGUUGGUGAGGUAACGGCUCACCAAGGCGACGAUACAUAGGGGGACUGAGAGGUUAACCCCCCACACUGGUACUGAGACACGGACCAGACUCCUACGGGAGGCAGCAGUGAGGAAUAUUGGUCAAUGGGCGAGAGCCUGAACCAGCCAAGUAGCGUGCAGGAUGACGGCCCUAUGGGUUGUAAACUGCUUUUAUAAGGGAAUAAAGUGGGAGUCGUGACUCUUUUGCAUGUACCUUAUGAAUAAGGACCGG